AGCCCGGCCCUUUAAGUCCAUUAACGACCUAAAUCCACUUAAAUGGCCGCGGCCGUUUGAUACCUCGACAUGGAAACACAGAUUUAAUCUCAAGGAUAAAGCUUUGGUCAAGGCGAAUUUUAUGGCUCUUGGCACAAAUGCAACGGUGGCCUGAGUUGAUGUUGAGGGGUCAAAGGUCGAGGAAGCAACGACUGCAGACCACAAAGUAGCUAACGAUAACAGACAUGAGCCUGGGUUGAGGGCUGGUGUGUGAAAACAGCUGGGUCACCUUCACUCCCACGUCGUUAUACUCUGCAAAAAUACUUCUCAUCGUUAUUCAAAGCUCCGGGAAAAAAGGAGGGAAAAAAAUUCAGUGCAAACAAACAGUAGCCAAAUUGACGGCUAAAUGUCAAGGACACCAACCUCCCCGAACAAUCUUCGGCCAUAAUUCACCACAGACUUUGUGGAUUAUAGGUCUUUUUUUUCUGACAAAUUCCUCCAACAUUAGUGUCCGACGUCCUGCCCAGGGGCCCUCUGUGACACUUGAAGAGCUUUUAUGUGGCCCAGAACUUAAAUAUGGAUUUUUAUAGCCCGUCGGGUCGAUCAAACCCGAGAAAGAAGUCUCAAAAGUUCAAGUUGUAAUUAGCGCUCUCUGGAGGCGUGCGGCAGCCAAUCAGGUGAUUCCUGUUUGACCAGUGAUGCCGUGAGAACUGGAUCUUUAAACCAGUGACGCCAAACUGAGGUGUAGUUGUUUUAAAUGAUCUCCUCCUGUUAACGGCCUUAGGUGUGUGGGGAUGUGUGUGGGUUUUUUUUAUACAGUACUAUGUACAGGCCCCGCCCCCUAUUUAGGUUCAAUGGACAUACAUUUUUAUUUUUACAAUACUCAUUCUAACGACCAUUUAAACUGAGGAAUGUGCCUUAAAAAAAAUCAAGUGCUCCUUUAUUAGGAAACAUAUGGGUUGAUUUUUCUAUUGACUAUAUUCUGUACAACCAGGUGCUGAACUCUACUGUACACGACAUAGAGUAUUUGUUUAUGUCACGUACCCUAAUGUACGACUAUAAUUAAUCUGGUGAAGUUGAUUCAUUGGUCUAUUCUACCGUGUUUUCACCAGAUCUAAUGAACAGCUUUUGCUUCGUGCAAUAAAACAUAACGUUGUUACAAAUAUCUGUCAUGUUCACUGUGUUUCCAGACUCUUCUGCAGCUAAACGCCUCCUCAGGCUGAAAACCACAGGUGGUUGUUCAUUCAUGUCAGAGACGACAGUUCAGUCUAAUGGGCCAACACAUGCAAUCACACGCACACACACACACACUGCCUGGAAUGUGAUUUUAAUACAUUUAGCUCCAAAAAGUGAAUACAUUACACUGUUCCUUCAAUAAUGUGCAUAUUAUUAUUCAUAGGGGUUCAUGGGGUUUUCUUUCCCUCUUUUUUUUAUUUAAAAAAACAAUCCUGGCUGUUUAGUUCAGUUUGUUUGUCUCCAGGUUAUUUUAACAUAAUGUUUGCGUGUAUGUUUUUGUCCAAUCUUCCUGCUUUUAAAUUAUUUUUUAUUUGUUUUGAAUAUAUUUUUUCCUUUAGGUUUUUAACUGUUUUGCUUUUAUUUUCCUGGCCUACACUCCUUCACUGUGACCCAGAUUUAAGAUAUCUCUUAGAGGCAGUAAGUCUUGGAGAAGAGGAGAAGAAAAAGGAGAAGGAGAAGGAGAAGACACACAGCACACAACAAAAUGUGACCUCUGACCUAUCACUGUAGUCAGCAGGGGGCAGCUCAGGCACCUGGGGAGGAGAGUGUGGGGGCGGUGCCUUGCUCAGAACAUAAUCACGUGGCACCUGGUGGACCUGAACCUGAAACUUUCCAGAGUCAAGUGCAGCUGCUUAACCACCACAACUGCCCCGAGGAGGAGGAGGAGGAGAAGAAGAAGAAAAAGAAGAAGAAGAAGAAGAAGAAGAAGAAGAAGAAUGAGACAGAAUUCAGGACCAGAAAAUCCUUUGCAGUACAAACAAAAAGAGAGAAUAUACCUGAAAGUGGACACUUCACUGGGUCUGUACCCAGACCUGGACACUUCACUGGGUCUGUACCCAGACCUGGACGUUGAAUUAAGAGUCCUUGGAUAACACGCCUGCUGUGGACCAGAAUCAUGUGGUUCUUGCUGAUCUGGAUCUGAAAUGGACCUCGCCCCUCAUGCUGUAAAUAUUCUGCAGACUUGUCUUUUUGCUUCAUAUUAUUAUAUUAUAUUAUAUUCAUAACUGCGUUGCUCUGUGGCCCCAGAAGUGAACGGUCAAAUCUUUUAGAAAUGACUGGCCAGAGGUUUUUGUUGUUUUUCUGAGUAGUUUUAAUGAUGUUGUUUUAUUUUGGGGUUUUUUCUUUUUCUUGGAGAACUGUGAAACUUGGUGAAUGUAGUCCUGGUGAUUUGUUCUGAUGUGGCAUGACUUUGUUGGAUGGUUUCCAGAGUGGGUUUUUUAUGGGAAAACGAGGUUUUACACUGUGUAAUUAGUGCAGAAUUUUUUUAUCCGUGGAGAAAAUGAUUCUAAGAGCAGAUACGAAUGAAAUCAUCAGAGGUUCUAAGAGCUUUAUUAAAAAUGUAGCCACUGUGUAUGAUAUUUUCUAAAGAAAAAAAAACAAUUAACCAGAAGAUUUAAUUUACCACUAGGUGCUGCUAAAUCCAUCAGUGUGAAUUAAAUGAUGUCCACAGGGUAAGAAUUAUGUUUUUUAACAUCAUUUCUGUAAGACUGCAAAAUUAUGCAGCACCCAAUCAAAGAAAAUGUCGCAAAAAGUUAUUUUCUGGCUCUAUAAAGUUUUGUGUAUAAUGAAGUAAAAGUAUUAGUACUGCAAAAGUGGCGAACCGCUUAUUUCUUCUGGAAAUAAACAAAAUAAAAAAAUACAAAUAAAAUAUCGACUCUUGCACGGCAGAAUAAAAAUCUCUACGCUUUUUCAGCAGAAGUCAGCACAAAUGCCACCUGCUGCACGUUCCAGGUAUCUACGCUUUUUUUUUUUUUUUUUUUCUUUAACUCAGUUCUAGUUUUGACGAGUAACAAACUCUGGUGGCGUUCCUCCCUACUGUAUUUUUAGCAACACGGGAAACACAAACACACUGUCGACACUUUUUUGCAGGCUCAGUGGAAUUUGUUAGCGUUCCACUCUGCCCACCGAGUCCCACAGACCCUCCCCUGAUUCCCUCCCCCACUCUGCAGUCACAGCAGCAGAAAACGCAGCUUGUAACGUGUGACAGCUAUUGACAGCGACCGUGUACGACUUCACUGAGUCCAGCCAAGCACGGCACCAGUCAACCUCCGAUUCACCUCCCUGCC
Long non-coding RNA from Cynoglossus semilaevis (tongue sole), 3281 nucleotides. RefSeq lists it as uncharacterized. Lineage: Eukaryota; Metazoa; Chordata; Actinopteri; Pleuronectiformes; Cynoglossidae. The transcript has 3 exons. The record is from RefSeq and is a predicted model, not a curated record.